This is a long non-coding RNA of Pan troglodytes (chimpanzee), 243 nucleotides long. RefSeq lists it as uncharacterized. Lineage: Eukaryota; Metazoa; Chordata; Mammalia; Primates; Hominidae. The transcript has 3 exons. The record is from RefSeq and is a predicted model, not a curated record.
CCUUCAAUAUCCCACUGAGAACUCACCCCCAGGAUGGGACUCUGCUCACCCUGUCCUCUACUCAAGCAGAAGCCUCUCAGCGAUCAUAGGGCAAGGCCUGAACACAAGCUUCUGUUUGGUGUAAAGUGGAGGCACAGGCUGCAGGACUGUCUCAGAAGGGAAAUAAUAUUUACCUUCCAAACGGAGAUCUAAAACCCGAACAAAGCCUCAGGAAACAUACUCCACCACCAUCUUACAAGUUUG